RNAcentral lists this ribosomal RNA (391 nucleotides) under uncultured bacterium. RNAcentral's name for it is "bacterial SSU rRNA". It matches the Rfam family "Bacterial small subunit ribosomal RNA", at positions 335 to 719 of the family's 1533-position model. The record is from RNAcentral.
ACUCCUACGGGAGGCAGCAGUAGGGAAUUUUCCGCAAUGGACGAAAGUCUGACGGAGCAAUGCCGCGUGAGUGAUGAAGGUUUUCGAAUCGUAAAGCUCUGUUGUAAGGGAAGAAUAGCAGUGUAGGAAAUGACUACUGUGUGACGGUACCUUACCAGAAAGCCACGGCUAACUACGUGCCAGCAGCCGCGGUAAUACGUAGGUGGCAAGCGUUAUCCGGAAUUAUUGGGCGUAAAGCGCAUGUAGGCGGCUCUUUAAGUCUGAUGUGAAAGCCUGUGGCUCAACCACAGAAUUGCAUUGGAUACUGGAGAGCUAGAAUCUUGGAGAGGUAAGUGGAAUUUCAUGUGUAGCGGUGGAAUGCGUAGAUAUAUGAAGGAACACCAAUGGCGAA